RNAcentral lists this ribosomal RNA (510 nucleotides) under uncultured bacterium. RNAcentral describes it as "partial 16S ribosomal RNA". It matches the Rfam family "Bacterial small subunit ribosomal RNA", at positions 28 to 507 of the family's 1533-position model. The record is from RNAcentral.
GACGAACGCUGGCGGCGUGCUUAACACAUGCAAGUCGAACGAAGAGCGAUGGAAGCUUGCUUCUAUCAAUCUUAGUGGCGAACGGGUGAGUAACGCGUAAUCAACCUGCCCUUCAGAGGGGGACAACAGUUGGAAACGACUGCUAAUACCGCAUACGGUCUAAUCUCGGCAUCGAGGAUAGAUGAAAGGUGGCCUCUACAUGUAAGCUAUCACUGAAGGAGGGGAUUGCGUCUGAUUAGCUAGUUGGAGGGGUAACGGCCCACCAAGGCGAUGAUCAGUAGCCGGUCUGAGAGGAUGAACGGCCACAUUGGGACUGAGACACGGCCCAGACUCCUACGGGAGGCAGCAGUGGGGAAUCUUCCGCAAUAGACGAAAGUCUGACGGAGCAACGCCGCGUGAGUGAUGACGGCCUUCGGGUUGUAAAGCUCUGUUAAUCGGGACGAAAGGCCUUCUUGCGAAUAGUGAGAAGGAUUGACGGUACCGGAAUAGAAAGCCACGGCUAACUACGUG